Molecule: ribosomal RNA, 468 nt
Filed under: uncultured bacterium
Lineage: Bacteria
Description: partial 16S ribosomal RNA
Rfam family: Bacterial small subunit ribosomal RNA
Source: RNAcentral
GACGAACGCUGGCGGCGUGCUUAACACAUGCCAGUCGAACGGAAAGGCCCUGCUUUUGUGGGGUGCUCGAGUGGCGAACGGGUGAGUAACACGUGAGUAACCUGCCCUUGACUUUGGGAUAACUUCAGGAAACUGGGGCUAAUACCGGAUAGGAGCUCCUGCUGCAUGGUGGGGGUUGGAAAGUUUCGGCGGUUGGGGAUGGACUCGCGGCUUUUCAGCUUGUUGGUGGGGUAGUGGCUUACCAAGGCUUUGAGGGGUGGCCGGCCUGGGAGGGGGACCGGCCACAUUGGGACUGAGAUACGGCCCAGACUCCUACGGGAGGCAGCAGUGGGGAAUAUUGCACAAUGGGCGGAAGCCUGAUGCAGCAACGCCGCGUGCGGGAUGACGGCCUUCGGGUUGUAAACCGCUUUCGCCUGUGACGAAGCGUGAGUGACGGUAAUGGGUAAAGAAGCACCGGCUAACUACGUG